This 484-nucleotide ribosomal RNA is filed under the name uncultured bacterium. Its description in RNAcentral is "partial 16S ribosomal RNA". It matches the Rfam family "Bacterial small subunit ribosomal RNA", at positions 30 to 507 of the family's 1533-position model. The record is from RNAcentral.
AUUGAACGCUGGCGGCAGGCCUAACACAUGCUAGUCGAGCGGAUGAAGGGAGCUUGCUCCUGGAUUCAGCGGCGGACGGGUGAGUAAUGCCUAGGAAUCUGCCUGGUCGUGGGGGAUAACGUCCGGAAACGGGCGCUAAUACCGCAUACGUCCUGAGGGAGAAAGUGGGGGAUCUUCGGACCUCACGCUAUCAGAUGAGCCUAGGUCGGAUUAGCUAGUUGGUGGGGUAAAGGCCUACCAAGGCGACGAUCCUUAACUGGUCUGAGAGGAUGACCAGUCACACUGGAACUGAGACUCGGUCCAGACUCCUACGGUGGGCAGCAGUGGGGAAUAUUGGACGAUGGGCGAGAGCCUGAUCCAGCCAUGCCGCGUGUGGGAAGAAGGUCUUCGGAUUGUAAAGCACUUUAAGUUGGGAGGAAGGACAGUAAGUUAAUACCUUACUGUUUUGACGUUACCAACAGAAUAAGCACCGGCUAACUUCGUG